This 383-nucleotide RNase P RNA is filed under the name Gammaproteobacteria bacterium. RNAcentral describes it as "RNase P RNA component class A". It matches the Rfam family "Bacterial RNase P class A". Rfam says of the family: Ribonuclease P (RNase P) is a ubiquitous endoribonuclease, found in archaea, bacteria and eukarya as well as chloroplasts and mitochondria. Its best characterised activity is the generation of mature 5'-ends of tRNAs by cleaving the 5'-leader elements of precursor-tRNAs. Cellular RNase Ps are ribonucleoproteins. The record is from RNAcentral. Lineage: Bacteria; Pseudomonadati; Pseudomonadota; Gammaproteobacteria.
GGAGCCGGCCAGGCAAUCGCUCGGGCCGAUGUUUCGGCAUCGGUUUCGGGAGGAAAGUCCGGGCUCCGGCGGACAGGGUGCCAGGUAAUACCUGGGGGGCGCGAGCCUACGGAAAGUGCCACAGAAAAUAUACCGCCCGAAUCGGCAACGGUUCUGGUAAGGGUGAAAUGGUGCGGUAAGAGCGCACCGCGCGGCUGGUAACACGCCGCGGCACGGCAAACCCCACCUGGAGCAAGACCAAAUAGGGGAGUGUCUGCGCACUUCAUGUGCGUAGAACCGGCGUCCCACGGACUCCCGGGUAGGUCGCUUGAGGCCGCUGGUGACAGCGAUCCCAGAUGAAUGAUUGUCCACGACAGAACCCGGCUUAUCGGCCGGCUCCUUAA